Long non-coding RNA from Homalodisca vitripennis (glassy-winged sharpshooter), 2477 nucleotides. RefSeq lists it as uncharacterized. The record is from RefSeq and is a predicted model, not a curated record. The transcript has 2 exons. Lineage: Eukaryota; Metazoa; Arthropoda; Insecta; Hemiptera; Cicadellidae.
CAGAGUUGAAUUCACUGAGAGAUGCCUAUUCACUGUACGUUUUAUUUAAUUAACAGCCAGUUUUUUAUAUUUCUGUGGCAGUAGCCGAUCCUUGCCAGUAACAAGUAUCCAACGUUUGCUAGGCGGUAUUUUAAGACAAUUAAAUGAACAAUUAAACGUUUGACAGUAUACGAGACCCUAAUACCAGUUUUGUGGCUCUCUGGCAUUUGUGGGGUUGUGUAAACAUAGGUUCCAUCAAAAAUUGAAACGGUGUGUGGUAUAAUAUGAUAUAUUGUAUAAUCAUCAUGCAAAUCAUAAAUACCUUACUUUUUAAAAACGUCUUCCUGGCAACUUUUGUUCAAAAUCUAAAAUUGCGCCCAAAUUAGUUAGAUAUUUAAUCUCACAAAAUUAAUAAAAAUGUAAUUUGGUAAAAAAUUACAUUCAGAUUUGUUUAGAAUCCCUAUGUAAAUGAUACCCAAUGCAAAAAAGUGGUAUUUAAAUUUUUGAAGUGGAGGUUACACCAACUUUGUGUGGCAUAAUACAUAAAUUAAAUAUUAGAAACCAAACCAUUGCAAUAAUCUAUAAGAUUAAUAAACUUACCGUUACAAGUAAAUUCUUUUCUUUUUCACAUAUGAUUCCAGAGUAUAAUUUAACAAAUUUCUCAUUACAGAAAACUAAGAACAUACAAUAUUCAAGAACUGAUACAAUAUUGUUAUUUAGAGAACUAACAGGAAUGAGCCUACAUAGAAAAGCAUUAGAGGUAUUAUAGUAAGGGUAGAGUUAUCAUGAGGUGUAAAUUUUAAAAACUUUAAAUAUUAUUGAAUAUUAGAUACUUUAUUCACAUAAAUAGUAUUUAGGUAUUUAUUUAUAAUGUUUAGUAUGAGAAUAAAUGUUGACGAUGGAGCUUGUAUUGGAUACUGUUAACUUAAUUACAUUUAAAACACAUAAAUCAAUACAUAAAACUUUUAUUUUCGUUGACCUAUCGAUAGCAAGGCUAUCUUCGUCAGGCAGACCAUGCGUCACAACUUUUUGAUGUGUCUAACAAAGAUAGCCUUGCUAUCGAAAGGCCUCACAAAAAUAAAAGUUUUAAUUAUUGGUUUGUGCGUUUUACAUGUAAUUAUGAUAUUAAACGUUUACACUUCUGAAUAUACAGGGUGGCCAUGUCCUAGUGUAAACAUUUGCGGUGGGUGAUAAUGCAACAUAAAUGUUACACAAAUACUGAAAUUAAAAGUUUGUAUUACUCACACAAAUUGUAAGAAUCUUUAUUAUCGGUUUUUAUAAAAAAUUUACAUAUUGAAAAAGAUGUAAAUUUCUGUACCGUUUAUAAAUAGUUAAGUAAUCUGAGAGGCAUAGUUUUGUUGGAUUAGAGCAAUUAUCCUUAGAAAAUAGGCUUCCAGGAGCAAUGUGUAAAAUUGAAUAAUUUGUUAUCGAACACAUUCGGGCUCUCAAUAGUCACAGAUCCUCGGCUCGUGAUCAGCGAGGGGAGCGGCGUGAACUAGUUGUACAUCGAGUAACUUAUCUGUCUUACCAAGGAGUGACUUGCGCUGCUACUUUUCUGACAGUUUCAGAUUCCAGACGCUGCACUAAGAGGAAGGUGAACUGGAGCUAAACACAACAUUCACAUAUAUGGUAAUAUUCUUACUAGGAACAUACCUAAUAAAAGCUAUGAUUAUUUUAAUUGAUAAGAGCCUAACAUGUUCUGUGUGCGCGUACGGUAUGUAACUACUGAUAGUAAUGUAGAGAGUUAAAACUCGGUAUGAAUGUUCCUCAAGAAAGGACACUUAAAAAAAUAAAACUAGAAUCACGUAAUUUGUACGUUACUCUGCUAACUGAAUCGAAAAAAUCCCAGAAAAUCACGUUUUUGAAAGCAAAUUUAGUAACAAUUACAUGACAUUUAAUCAGGUGACGUAGUAACACGUGCUUUUUGGAUUGUUUUAGUAAAUCUUUCAUUACUUGUCUGCAUUUCGAUACUCUAUUGUAUCAGUGUACGUAAUAUAUGUGGGCUAAAAACUAGCAUAUAAGUUUCCUGUAAGCGUUUUGGCUUACCAAUCGCUGUAAAAACUUACAAAGUAUAAUGCUUUGUAGUCAAAAUAAUGAAUAAUUUUUAUUGUUUAUUUACUAGCCAAUUUUACCUUUUUGGAAACUAGUUUCAAGAAUAUGUGUUAUUCCUGUGCAACUUCACUCCAAGAAGAUCUCGUCAAAGACCGAGGAGCGUAGAAUAGACCCACCCUCCAUUACAAUAAUGAAAGCUACUCUAGAGGUCUUUGUCAGGGUAAUCAAAGUGGCCAGGACGUGACGUCAGACAAAGACGUACAAAGGUGUGUUUGCUUAUUGUACUCGUAUGUCGGCUACACGAUUGUUCUGUUUUGCUUGGAUAAGGAAAUGGUUUCUUUGAGUAUUCAGAAUGAAGCAACUACUAAAACUUCAAACUUACAAUAAUUACUGAUAGUCAAAAGCUGUACAUUUGAGUGUUAAUAUUAUAUGUACUUUUCAAAAUA